This is a long non-coding RNA of Nomascus leucogenys (northern white-cheeked gibbon), 958 nucleotides long. RefSeq lists it as uncharacterized. The record is from RefSeq and is a predicted model, not a curated record. NCBI's taxonomy places the organism in Eukaryota, Metazoa, Chordata, Mammalia, Primates, Hylobatidae. The transcript has 3 exons.
GAAAAAGGUUCCGGCCUCAGCCGGCAUACCUGGCGGAGGAGGAACCGCGCGACGCGCUCUCGGGCGCCGGUUUCAGCAAAGUUUGGAGGGUUUAGCUGCGCGGAGAGCUCAGCGAGCUCUCCUGGGCCUGUUUGGGGCGUAUGGGCUCCGGGAGCGUGAGGACCGGGAAGCUGGGAGGCUCCUUCCCUUCUGGUGGCUCCUUCACUGAGACCGGGCGGUUUGGUUGCGGGGGACGUGGAGGCGAGCCACCCUUGACCUUUGACUGCAAGGACUCACCUUGAGCAAUAUAGAGGCAAGUGGACGGUGACCCUCGGGGUGCAAUAAGUGCUGAGACAGAGCAGUUGUGCAAGGCACAGAGCUAGAGGCCUUUCUUCUCCAACCUUCAGUCACCUCUUUGUAAAGUGAAGCCAGCAUUCUCCUCGGAGUUUACUGUGAAAAUUAAGUGAGCUGACCCGUGCUGUGUUUUGAUGUUGCUUGGCUCCUACAAACAUUCAGUGGGCGAGACACUGUUCUGAAAAAUACAGUCGACUCUUGAACAACACAGGCUUGAACUGCAUGUAGCCACUACUACUCAGACUUUCUUCUGCCUUUGCCACCCCUAAGACAGCAAGACCAACCCCUCCUGCUCCUCAGCCUACUCGAUGUGAUGAUGUCUGGCUUCCUUUUCCCUUCAGUGGAAUAACAUAUACAAACUCUACCUAAGAGUGCUGUGUGAAGUACAUGCCAGCCUACAAGACAUGUCUCUAACCAAGUCGAAAGAGUGCAGUAUUCAUUCAUUCAUUCAUUCAACAAAUGUUUCUUAACAGGUAUUGUUUACCAAGCACUGUGUGUUAAGGACAAGAUGGUAUGAAACAAGCAGACCCAGGCCUCAGGGAAGAGAGGCUGUUACAUUCAGAGACAAUUACCAUACACUACAAUGAAUGCUUUGACAAAGGGAUGCAAAAAAAAAAAAAAAAAA